GAAGACUUCGGUUGAAUAUGAAGAUGUAAAGUUCUAGCGGCGGACGGGUGAGUAACGCGUGAGCAACCUGUCCCUUACAGGGGGAUAACACAGCGAAAGUUGUACUAAUACCGCAUAAGACCACAGUAAGGCAUCUUACAGGGGUCAAAGGAGCAAUCCGGUGAAGGGUGGGCUCGCGUCCGAUUAGAUAGUUGGUGAGGUAACGGCCCACCAAGUCAACGAUCGGUAGCCGACCUGAGAGGGUGAUCGGCCACAUUGGGACUGAGACACGGCCCAAACUCCUACGGGAGGCAGCAGUGGGGAAUAUUGGGCAAUGGGGGGAACCCUGACCCAGCAACGCCGCGUGAGGGAAGAAGGUUUUCGGAUCGUAAACCUCUGUCCCAGGUGAAGAGUGAGAGACGGUAGCCUGGGAGGAAGCCCCGGCUAACUACGUGCCAGCAGCCGCGGUAAUACGUAGGGGGCGAGCGUUGUCCGGAAUGAUUGGGCGUAAAGGGCGCGUAGGCGGCCCGGUAAGUCUGGAGUGAAAGUCCUGUUUUUAAGAUGGGAAUUGCUUUGGAUACUGUCGGGCUUGAGUGCAGGAGAGGUAAGUGGAAUUCCCAGUGUAGCGGUGAAAUGCGUAGAGAUUGGGAGGAACACCAGUGGCGAAGGCGACUUACUGGACUGUAACUGA
RNAcentral lists this ribosomal RNA (670 nucleotides) under uncultured rumen bacterium. RNAcentral's name for it is "bacterial SSU rRNA". It matches the Rfam family "Bacterial small subunit ribosomal RNA", at positions 69 to 743 of the family's 1533-position model. The record is from RNAcentral.